This 520-nucleotide ribosomal RNA is filed under the name uncultured Glomus. RNAcentral's name for it is "SSU rRNA". It matches the Rfam family "Eukaryotic small subunit ribosomal RNA", at positions 569 to 1091 of the family's 1831-position model. Lineage: Eukaryota; Fungi; Glomeromycota; Glomeromycetes; Glomerales; Glomeraceae. The record is from RNAcentral.
AGCAGCCGCGGUAAUUCCAGCUCCAAUAGCGUAUAUUAAAGUUGCUGCAGUUAAAAAGCUCGUAGUUGAAUUUCGGGACUAAUAUGUCGGUCGUGCCUCGGUACGUACUGGUAUUUUGGUUUCUCCCUUCUGACGAACCUUGAUGUCAUUAAUUUGGUGUCUUGGGAAAUCAGGACUGUUACUUUGAAAAAAUUUAGAGUGUUUAAAGCAGGCUCACGCUUGAAUACAUUAGCAUGGGAUAAUGAAAUAGGACGUUUGAUUCUAUUUUGUUGGUUUCUAGGAUCGACGUAAUGAUUAAUAGGGAUAGUUGGGGGCAUUAGUAUUCAAUUGUCAGAGGUGAAAUUCUUGGAUUUAUUGAAGACUAACUACUGCGAAAGCAUUUGCCAAGGAUGUUUUCAUUAAUCAAGAACGAAAGUUAGGGGAUCGAAGACGAUCAGAUACCGUCGUAGUCUUAACCAUAAACUAUGCCGACUAGGGAUCGGAUGAUGUUAAUUUUUUAAUGACUCAUUCGGCGCCUUAC